This 809-nucleotide unclassified non-coding RNA is filed under the name Hevea brasiliensis (rubber tree). The record is from RNAcentral. Lineage: Eukaryota; Viridiplantae; Streptophyta; Magnoliopsida; Malpighiales; Euphorbiaceae.
AUAACUUGGUGAUUUUGUUGGAGGUGGACAAUAUCUAAGGCAACUUUAUAUAUACGUUGUAUGUCAUUAGUAUGUAAAGUUUUAGCCUUUGUCCAUACCUUACAACAAGUCUUACAAGACUGAAAUAAGGUAAGUAAUUUGGGGUCCAGAGAAUGCCAUAAAAGGCUACAUAACUGUGCAUCUACCUUGUUCUAGCUAGUUCUACCAUCAACAGCAAUAUCACCAGCAUUCUUGACUAGAUGUUCAUCACAACCUUGCCCCAUGAACCACAAUUCUACUAAAGCUGACCAUGACAUAUAAUUAUUGCUACCUUGCAUCUUCAUAGUAGUACUUGUUGGAGAAUUGAAAAUAAAAGAGAAAGUUGGCUUAGAGUCACCAAAAUUGGAGGAACUACCUAUUUCAGUCAUGUUGGUUGCUCCUAAAACCUUCAAAUAGAUCAGACAAAUAGUGUUGGAUGUCUUGAAGAACAAACCCAAAGGCUACUAUCUCUUGGUGGAGGGAGAUCAGGAGAAGACCCAAAAAUGGUGUAGGGUCAGGAAGAGCUGCCGAUCAGGGGCGAGUUGGCCAGCGUUGGACCUACAAAAACGGUCGCCGAAUUAUCCCUCACGCACCGGCACGUGUGAAGACAGGGGAGGCACGUUGAUGACGCGUGACGGCUUCCGAUAAAGGUCCAGCAUCGGUCUUUUGGGGCCUGAGUCACCGAUGGUCAAUGAAUUCUUUUAGGUGAGUGAUUUAGUCCACCUCCUUCUAGUAGGUGGCCAACUAGAACGGCGGUGCCAUUUGUUCUUCCACAUCCGAAUCUCCAAGAA